This 468-nucleotide ribosomal RNA is filed under the name uncultured bacterium. RNAcentral describes it as "partial 16S ribosomal RNA". It matches the Rfam family "Bacterial small subunit ribosomal RNA", at positions 28 to 507 of the family's 1533-position model. The record is from RNAcentral.
GACGAACGCUGGCGGCGUGCUUAACACAUGCAAGUCGAACGGAAAGGCCCUGCUUUUGUGGGGUGCUCGAGUGGCGAACGGGUGAGUAACACGUGAGUAACCUGCCCUUGACUUUGGGAUAACUUCAGGAGACUGGGGCUAAUACCGGAUAGGAGCUCCUGCUGCAUGGUGGGGGUUGGAAAGUUUCGGCGGUUGGGGAUGGACUCGCGGCUUAUCAGCUUGUUGGCGGGGUAGUGGCUUACCAAGGCUUUGACGGGUAGCCGGCCUGAGAGGGUGACCGGCCACAUUGGGACUGAGAUACGGCCCAGACUCCUACGGGAGGCAGCAGUGGGGAAUAUUGCACAAUGGGCGGAAGCCUGAUGCAGCAACGCCGCGUGCGGGAUGACGGCCUUCGGGUUGUAAACCGCUUUCGCCUGUGACGAAGCGUGAGUGACGGUAAUGGGUAAAGAAGCACCGGCUAACUACGUG